RNAcentral lists this ribosomal RNA (1150 nucleotides) under uncultured Enterobacteriaceae bacterium. RNAcentral describes it as "bacterial SSU rRNA". It matches the Rfam family "Bacterial small subunit ribosomal RNA", at positions 256 to 1399 of the family's 1533-position model. The record is from RNAcentral. Lineage: Bacteria; Pseudomonadati; Pseudomonadota; Gammaproteobacteria; Enterobacterales; Enterobacteriaceae.
GGUAACGGCUCACCUAGGCGACGAUCCCUAGCUGGUCUGAGAGGAUGACCAGCCACACUGGAACUGAGACACGGUCCAGACUCCUACGGGAGGCAGCAGUGGGGAAUAUUGCACAAUGGGCGCAAGCCUGAUGCAGCCAUGCCGCGUGUAUGAAGAAGGCCUUCGGGUUGUAAAGUACUUUCAGCGGGGAGGAAGGGAGUAAAGUUAAUACCUUUGCUCAUUGACGUUACCCGCAGAAGAAGCACCGGCUAACUCCGUGCCAGCAGCCGCGGUAAUACGGAGGGUGCAAGCGUUAAUCGGAAUUACUGGGCGUAAGGCGCACGCAGGCGGUUUGUUAAGUCAGAUGUGAAAUCCCCGGGCUCAACCUGGGAACUGCAUCUGAUACUGGCAAGCUUGAGUCUCGUAGAGGGGGGUAGAAUUCCAGGUGUAGCGGUGAAAUGCGUAGAGAUCUGGAGGAAUACCGGUGGCGAAGGCGGCCCCCUGGACGAAGACUGACGCUCAGGUGCGAAAGCGUGGGGAGCAAACAGGAUAAGAUACCCUGGUAGUCCACGCCGUAAACGAUGUCGACUUGUAGGUUGUGCCCUUGAGGCGUGGCUUCCGGAGCUAACGCGUUAAGUCGACCGCCUGGGGAGUACGGCCGCAAGGUUAAAACUCAAAUGAAUUGACGGGGGCCCGCACAAGCGGUGGAGCAUGUGGUUUAAUUCGAUGCAACGCGAAGAACCUUACCUGGUCUUGACAUCCACGGAAGUUUUCAGAGAUGAGAAUGUGCCUUCGGGAACCGUGAGACAGGUGCUGCAUGGCUGUCGUCAGCUCGUGUUGUGAAAUGUUGGGUUAAGUCCCGCAACGAGCGCAACCCUUAUCCUUUGUUGCCAGCGGUCCGGCCGGGAACUCAAAGGAGACUGCCAGUGAUAAACUGGAGGAAGGUGGGGAUGACGUCAAGUCAUCAUGGCCCUUACGACCAGGGCUACACACGUGCUACAAUGGCGCAUACAAAGAGAAGCGACCUCGCGAGAGCAAGCGGACCUCAUAAAGUGCGUCGUAGUCCGGAUUGGAGUCUGCAACUCGACUCCAUGAAGUCGGAAUCGCUAGUAAUCGUGGAUCAGAAUGCCACGGUGAAUACGUUCGCGGGCCUUGUACACACCGCCCGUCA